Potamilus streckersoni is the source of this 84-nucleotide non-coding RNA. NCBI's taxonomy places the organism in Eukaryota, Metazoa, Mollusca, Bivalvia, Unionida, Unionidae. The record is from the annotation of a GenBank genome assembly.
GUCUUUGUUUUAAAAUUAGAAGCUCGUGGUUAGAACAUCCGCCUCGUAUGCGGAAGGUCGCGGGUUCGAACCCUGCUUGAGCCA